UGUCCCUGACUGGGUAGACUGGCACUUGGUUUGGUGGUGCUUGUCUCCUAUCAGCCAAGGACAAAGUAACUCCUUGUUUAUCCCAGCCUGGCUUUUGGUCUGUGCCCAUGCUGGUUCAUCCCCAGGACACAUGG
Molecule: small nucleolar RNA, 134 nt
Organism: Molossus molossus (Pallas's mastiff bat)
Lineage: Eukaryota; Metazoa; Chordata; Mammalia; Chiroptera; Molossidae
Product: small nucleolar RNA SNORA48
Exons: 1
Source: RefSeq, a predicted model, not a curated record